AUACGUAGGGUGCGAGCGUUGUCCGGAAUUACUGGGCGUAAAGAGCUCGUAGGUGGUUUGUCGCGUCGUCUGUGAAAUUCCGGGGCUUAACUCCGGGCGUGCAGGCGAUAUGGGCAUAACUUGAGUACUGUAGGGGAGACUGGAAUUCCUGGUGUAGCGGUGAAAUGCGCAGAUAUCAGGAGGAACACCGGUGGCGAAGGCGGGUCUCUGGGCAGUAACUGACGCUGAGGAGCGAAAGCAUGGGUAGCGAACAGGAUUAGAUACCCUGGUAGUCCAUGCCGUAAACGGUGGGCGCUAGGUGUAGGGGUCUUCCACGACUUCUGUGCCGUAGCUAACGCAUUAAGCGCCCCGCCUGGGGAGUACGGCCGCAAGGCUAAAACUCAAAUGAAUUGACGGGG
Molecule: ribosomal RNA, 398 nt
Filed under: uncultured bacterium
Lineage: Bacteria
Description: partial 16S ribosomal RNA
Rfam family: Bacterial small subunit ribosomal RNA
Source: RNAcentral